CCUACGGGUGGCAGCAGUGAGGAAUAUUGGUCAAUGGCCGUAAGGCUGAACCAGCCAAGUCGCGUGAGGGAAGACUGCCCUAUGGGUUGUAAACCUCUUUUAUGCGGGGACAAAGGUGUCCACGUGUGCGUGUUUGCAGGUACCGCAUGAAUAAGGACCGGCUAAUUCCGUGCCAGCAGCCGCGGUAAUACGGAAGGUCCGGGCGUUAUCCGGAUUUAUUGGGUUUAAAGGGUGCGUAGGCGGGCCUUUAAGCGUGCCGUGAAAUUCUGGGGCUCAACCGUGUGAGUGCGGUGGAAACUGGGGGCCUGGAGUGCGCGGAAGGCAGGCGGAAUGCGUGGUGUAGCGGUGAAAUGCAUAGAUAUCACGAAGAACCCCGAUUGCGAAGGCAGCCUGCCGCCGCGUUACUGACGCUGAAGCACGAAAGCGCGGGUAUCGAACAGGAUUAGAUACCCCAGUAGUC
This 460-nucleotide ribosomal RNA is filed under the name uncultured bacterium. Its description in RNAcentral is "partial 16S ribosomal RNA". It matches the Rfam family "Bacterial small subunit ribosomal RNA", at positions 338 to 795 of the family's 1533-position model. The record is from RNAcentral.